Small nucleolar RNA from Mastomys coucha (southern multimammate mouse), 129 nucleotides. RefSeq annotates it as small nucleolar RNA ACA64. The transcript has a single exon. The record is from RefSeq and is a predicted model, not a curated record. Lineage: Eukaryota; Metazoa; Chordata; Mammalia; Rodentia; Muridae.
GUUUGUUGAAAAUCAUCCUUAACUCUGGCCUAUGGCCGGGGGUGAGAUUCGGCGACCAGAGCCACUGAGGCCUCAGCUCACUGCCCGCUGCACCCAGUGUGGGAGGGUGAAACCCAGGCCCCGACAUUC